Molecule: ribosomal RNA, 626 nt
Filed under: uncultured bacterium
Lineage: Bacteria
Description: bacterial SSU rRNA
Rfam family: Bacterial small subunit ribosomal RNA
Source: RNAcentral
GAAAAACUCCGGUGGUAUAAGAUGGACCCGCGUCUGAUUAGCUGGUUGGUGAGGUAACGGCCCACCAAGGCGACGAUCAGUAGCCGGCCUGAGAGGGUGAACGGCCACAUUGGGACUGAGACACGGCCCAAACUCUUACGGGAGGCAGCAGUGGGGAAUAUUGCACAAUGGGGGAAACCCUGAUGCAGCAACGCCGCGUGAGUGAAGAAGUAUUUCGGUAUGUAAAGCUCUAUCAGCAGGAAAGAAAAUGACGGUACCUGACUAAGAAGCCCCGGCUAACUACGUGCCAGCAGCCGCGGUAAUACGUAGGGGGCAAGCGUUAUCCGGAUUUACUGGGUGUAAAGGGAGCGUAGACGGUUUUGCAAGUCUGAAGUGAAAGCCCGGGGCUUAACCCCGGGACUGCUUUGGAAACUGUAGGACUAGAGUGCAGGAGAGGUAAGUGGAAUUCCUAGUGUAGCGGUGAAAUGCGUAGAUAUUAGGAGGAACACCAGUGGCGAAGGCGGCUUACUGGACUGUAACUGACGUUGAGGCUCGAAAGCGUGGGGAGCAAACAGGAUUAGAUACCCUGGUAGUCCACGCCGUAAACGAUGAUUACUAGGUGUUGGUGGGUAUGACCCAUCGGUGCC